CUUUGUUUGAUCUUUUAUGUUACUCUUUUCAGGAUGUAACUUUUGUCUUCUCUUCUCUUCUCUUGUCUCAAACCUUCUCUAGGCAGUCAUCCAAAGAGAGGCGAGGUCUGGAGGCCUUGGCUGCUCCCAGCGUGCAUAUCAAGGCAGAAUUGAAAAUUCCCAAACUUCAGACCACUGUUUCCAGGUGACUUUGAACACAGUUCCUGCAUUUCCU
Molecule: long non-coding RNA, 214 nt
Filed under: Cricetulus griseus (Chinese hamster)
Lineage: Eukaryota; Metazoa; Chordata; Mammalia; Rodentia; Cricetidae
Description: lncRNA (ENSCGRG00000026004.1)
Source: RNAcentral